RNAcentral lists this transfer RNA (69 nucleotides) under Eggerthella lenta. It matches the Rfam family "tRNA". Rfam says of the family: Transfer RNA (tRNA) molecules are approximately 80 nucleotides in length. Their secondary structure includes four short double-helical elements and three loops (D, anti-codon, and T loops). Lineage: Bacteria; Bacillati; Actinomycetota; Coriobacteriia; Eggerthellales; Eggerthellaceae. The record is from RNAcentral. RNAcentral also lists the same sequence under 5 other names.
GGAUGUGGCGCAGUUUGGUAGCGCGCCUGCUUUGGGAGCAGGAUGUCGCAGGUUCGAAUCCUGUCAUCC